RNAcentral lists this ribosomal RNA (1790 nucleotides) under Escherichia coli. RNAcentral describes it as "partial 23S ribosomal RNA". It matches the Rfam family "Bacterial large subunit ribosomal RNA", at positions 1025 to 2798 of the family's 2925-position model. The record is from RNAcentral. Lineage: Bacteria; Pseudomonadati; Pseudomonadota; Gammaproteobacteria; Enterobacterales; Enterobacteriaceae.
ACCCAGACCGCCAGCUAAGGUCCCAAAGUCAUGGUUAAGUGGGAAACGAUGUGGGAAGGCCCAGACAGCCAGGAUGUUGGCUUAGAAGCAGCCAUCAUUUAAAGAAAGCGUAAUAGCUCACUGGUCGAGUCGGCCUGCGCGGAAGAUGUAACGGGGCUAAACCAUGCACCGAAGCUGCGGCAGCGACACUAUGUGUUGUUGGGUAGGGGAGCGUUCUGUAAGCCUGUGAAGGUGGCCUGUGAGGGUUGCUGGAGGUAUCAGAAGUGCGAAUGCUGACAUAAGUAACGAUAAAGCGGGUGAAAAGCCCGCUCGCCGGAAGACCAAGGGUUCCUGUCCAACGUUAAUCGGGGCAGGGUGAGUCGACCCCUAAGGCGAGGCCGAAAGGCGUAGUCGAUGGGAAACAGGUUAAUAUUCCUGUACUUGGUGUUACUGCGAAGGGGGGACGGAGAAGGCUAUGUUGGCCGGGCGACGGUUGUCCCGGUUUAAGCGUGUAGGCUGGUUUUCCAGGCAAAUCCGGAAAAUCAAGGCUGAGGCGUGAUGACGAGGCACUACGGUGCUGAAGCAACAAAUGCCCUGCUUCCAGGAAAAGCCUCUAAGCAUCAGGUAACAUCAAAUCGUACCCCAAACCGACACAGGUGGUCAGGUAGAGAAUACCAAGGCGCUUGAGAGAACUCGGGUGAAGGAACUAGGCAAAAUGGUGCCGUAACUUCGGGAGAAGGCACGCUGAUAUGUAGGUGAAGCGACUUGCUCGUGGAGCUGAAAUCAGUCGAAGAUACCAGCUGGCUGCAACUGUUUAUUAAAAACACAGCACUGUGCAAACACGAAAGUGGACGUAUACGGUGUGACGCCUGCCCGGUGCCGGAAGGUUAAUUGAUGGGGUUAGCGGCAACGCGAAGCUCUUGAUCGAAGCCCCGGUAAACGGCGGCCGUAACUAUAACGGUCCUAAGGUAGCGAAAUUCCUUGUCGGGUAAGUUCCGACCUGCACGAAUGGCGUAAUGAUGGCCAGGCUGUCUCCACCCGAGACUCAGUGAAAUUGAACUCGCUGUGAAGAUGCAGUGUACCCGCGGCAAGACGGAAAGACCCCGUGAACCUUUACUAUAGCUUGACACUGAACAUUGAGCCUUGAUGUGUAGGAUAGGUGGGAGGCUUUGAAGUGUGGACGCCAGUCUGCAUGGAGCCGACCUUGAAAUACCACCCUUUAAUGUUUGAUGUUCUAACGUGGGCCCGUAAUCCGGGUUGCGGACAGUGUCUGGUGGGUAGUUUGACUGGGGCGGUCUCCUCCUAAAGAGUAACGGAGGAGCACGAAGGUUGGCUAAUCCUGGUCGGACAUCAGGAGGUUAGUGCAAUGGCAUAAGCCAGCUUGACUGCGAGCGUGACGGCGCGAGCAGGUGCGAAAGCAGGUCAUAGUGAUCCGGUGGUUCUGAAUGGAAGGGCCAUCGCUCAACGGAUAAAAGGUACUCCGGGGAUAACAGGCUGAUACCGCCCAAGAGUUCAUAUCGACGGCGGUGUUUGGCACCUCGAUGUCGGCUCAUCACAUCCUGGGGCUGAAGUAGGUCCCAAGGGUAUGGCUGUUCGCCAUUUAAAGUGGUACGCGAGCUGGGUUUAGAACGUCGUGAGACAGUUCGGUCCCUAUCUGCCGUGGGCGCUGGAGAACUGAGGGGGGCUGCUCCUAGUACGAGAGGACCGGAGUGGACGCAUCACUGGUGUUCGGGUUGUCAUGCCAAUGGCACUGCCCGGUAGCUAAAUGCGGAAGAGAUAAGUGCUGAAAGCAUCUAAGCACGAAACUUGCC